RNAcentral lists this ribosomal RNA (450 nucleotides) under uncultured soil bacterium. RNAcentral describes it as "bacterial SSU rRNA". It matches the Rfam family "Bacterial small subunit ribosomal RNA", at positions 26 to 521 of the family's 1533-position model. The record is from RNAcentral.
AGAACGAACGCUGGCGGCAUGCCUAAUACAUGCAAGUCGAACGAACACUUCGGUGUUAGUGGCGCACGGGUGCGUAACGCGUGGGAAUCUGCCCUUGGGUUCGGAAUAACAGUUGGAAACGACUGCUAAUACCGGAUGAUAUCGAAAGAUCAAAGAUUUAUCGCCCAGGGAUGAGCCCGCGUAGGAUUAGCUAGUUGGUGAGGUAAAGGCUCACCAAGGCGACGAUCCUUAGCUGGUCUGAGAGGAUGAUCAGCCACACUGGGACUGAGACACGGCCCAGACUCCUACGGGAGGCAGCAGUAGGGAAUAUGGACAAUGGGCGCAAGCCUGAUCCAAGCAAUGCCGCGCGAGUGAUGAAGCCUUAGGGUUGUAAAGCUCUUUUACCCGAGAUGAUAAUGACAGUAUCGGAGAAUAAACGCCCCGGACUAACUCCGUGCCAGCAGCCGCGGU